Long non-coding RNA from Haliotis rufescens (red abalone), 1215 nucleotides. RefSeq lists it as uncharacterized. The transcript has 3 exons. Lineage: Eukaryota; Metazoa; Mollusca; Gastropoda; Lepetellida; Haliotidae. The record is from RefSeq and is a predicted model, not a curated record.
GCUAGCUGGCUGCCGGCCGCAUGGAACUCUGGGUAGGAGAGUGGGCCAAGGUUAGACUUUGUUGACAGUCUGUCCUGGCAUAACGUUACGAAGUGCAGUCAGAUGUACACACAGCGACAAAACGAAACAAGAAAAUGAACCAUAAUACACCACGAAAUGACAAGACCCACCUUGCUCCAUGGUGCGAUGAGGUAGAUGAUGGACAGGAUGGGGACUAGCACGAUGCCCACUGGAAUGGCCAGCAUCAGCUCCCUGGGGAGUAUACAACACAAGCAGCCUGUGAAGCUCUGGGUGAACAGAGGCAUAUUUCAAACAAAGACAUUUUCCUGAGGAGACACCAAUGUAACACGUGUUUCAGUUUGGGGCAGGAUUGAAACAACCCAGAAAUCAAGGUCCCGAACACAGUCACCCAUCCAACUACUCUCCGCAACAAACAUUGCUUAACGACACCUGAUUUGUGACUGUGACUUGUGCGCUGUGAACAGGACCACGCGGUCGGUAUUUUUCGAUGUUAUCAUAAUAUGGAAUUCACCCGAAGGUAUUGGCAACAUGCGAUGACAUGUCUUCUCUCUGUGUACAAUCGUUUAAUAUAAUCGGCGACAAUACAAAAUAACUAAAAUAUUAAUAUUCUUAAAAAACACCUUUCAAUACACCAUUGAUCCUUUUUGCACCAUCAGCCACGAAGACUACUCUCAAAUGAACAUGUUCCUGACGCCAUUCAUAAUUAAUUUUUGAACUGAUCCUGCUCUCUGAAUCUUCCGUCAGUAGGAAUGAUGUACAAUUUGAUACACGCAAAGGGGUGUCCUUGCUAUUGCAGUAUCGUCGAGGGAUUUAGGCUGCAUCAUAAAUACCCUUUGUUCUCUAUCAUGGUACUUCUUCACGAUUUAGUAUGGGAACAACAAGAGUAGAAGUAUAUUACAUUUUACCAGCGUUCGAAAUACCUGCCUGCCCGACCGUCCGAGACGGGUUGAUUUCAACUCGGGCCGCCAGAUUUUCAAAUCCCCCUGCCCGACGGUCGGGUUAUAUUUCAUAUGUGAAAAUAUUCUAAAUAUUUCCCGAUGAUAAUCAUUAAUUCACAUGUAAAGAUGAAUGAUAAAAUGUAACCAAAAAGAAACCCCGUUAGCUUUGAGACAACCUAAAAUUUAGGCCCUAUUUAGGAAUAAGGAUAUUUACAUGAUGUAUUCUAGGAUAUUAAAUACAAAUCUGACCUAAAAA